Molecule: long non-coding RNA, 690 nt
Filed under: Urocitellus parryii (Arctic ground squirrel)
Lineage: Eukaryota; Metazoa; Chordata; Mammalia; Rodentia; Sciuridae
Description: lncRNA (ENSUPAG00010016483.1)
Source: RNAcentral
UCACAGUGGUGGCGGGUCCCGUUGGCUUUUAAUUCUAGUUUCUUYGUGUUGCCAGAUUUCUACAAGAGUAGUCCUGUCUGCAGAAUGCCAGACCUCUCCCUGCAACAUUAAGAAGUGCACUGGCUGGGCGAGAGGUCGGAGUCGGUGGGCAGACAGCUGCCCUCAGGACACAGACUUUCAAGCCGGGACUCUAUCAGAGGAGCCUCUCACAUUGGUGGUUGAGAAAGAGCUGGAAUGAAGUCAUCCCUCUUCUGGUUUUGUCUUCAUCCCACAGUUUGCAAAGCUGCAGAGAGCAUCGUUGACAAUGCCUUGUGUUCUACAGCAUGCAUGCUCAGGAAGGAGCACCUGGCUGCAGAGAUUACUCAACGCGCCCGCAGAGCCCCUCAAUGCAGUGGACUGGAGGACACGGACAGGGACCUGGGCUGCUAUGUCCGGGCCGUGGGAGCCUUGCUGCCUGGACAGUGUGCCCUGAGGGGACCCCGGAUGGCAGUCAGGCACUGGCCUGGCUCAGGCCUGGCUCCGCUCUUCAGUGGUCAGCGUGAGCCCUGCCAUCCUCCUUUCUUUGUCUGUGGAUGCGGGGUCAUUGCAGUCGGCCUCAACGCCCCCUUAGCUCUUCCAUUCUCAAAUUCCAUUUACCUUUUGAUCCGGUUCCAUCCUUUUAAGUGCUGUCACCUUUGCUUACUUGUAUAA